RNAcentral lists this small RNA (32 nucleotides) under Arabidopsis thaliana (thale cress). RNAcentral's name for it is "ATSL016000". Lineage: Eukaryota; Viridiplantae; Streptophyta; Magnoliopsida; Brassicales; Brassicaceae. The record is from RNAcentral.
AAGAUGUUCUUCUUCUUCUUCUUCUUUCUUCU